Pelobates cultripes (western spadefoot toad) is the source of this 470-nucleotide non-coding RNA. Lineage: Eukaryota; Metazoa; Chordata; Amphibia; Anura; Pelobatidae. The record is from the annotation of a GenBank genome assembly.
GACAUAAUUGCUUGAUGCAUCCAGCCCUGUAUACCAAAAUUUUGCAAAGAUUUACUCAUGAAUCUCCAACUGCUUUUCCUGCAUCUAUCGAUAGAGUCAGAAGAGGAGUUUGGGAUUUAUCUCCUGUGUCUAAAAUACCAAUUAGUCUCCUGGUAUUUGAGCCUGAAAAUCUAUUUAGGAUAAAGCCAAUUUGGUUCAGAUGAAUCAAAUAAGUUAGAAUUCAUUUUAGCCUUUCUGCCAGAAUGGAAUAUAAAUAACUUACCGUAUAUACUCGAGUAUAAGUCGACACAAAUAUAAGCCGAGGCCCCUAAUUUUACCCCAAAAAACUGGGAAAACUUAUUGACUUGAGUAUAAGCCUAAGGAGGGAAAUGCAGCAGCUACUGGUAAUUUAAAUAAAAUUAGAUGCCAAUCAAAUUACAUUAAUUGAAUAUUUAUUUACAGUGUGUGUAUAUAAUGAAUGCAGUGUGUAU